UGGUCAAGUUAUUAAGGGUGCAGGGCGGAUGCCUUGGCACUAGGAGCCGAUGAAGGACGUGAUAAGCUGCGAUAAGCUUCGGGGAGUUGCACGUAAACUUUGAUCCGAAGAUUUCCGAAUGAGGAAACUCACUUAGAGUAAUGUCUAAGUAUCAUUAAGUGAAUACAUAGCUUAAUGAGGGGAACUCAGGGAACUGAAACAUCUAAGUACCUGAAGGAAGAGAAAGAAAUUCGAUUCCGUAAGUAGCGGCGAGCGAACGCGGAUUAGCCCAAACCAAGAAAGUUUUCUUUAUUGGGGUUGCGGACAUAUCAUAACGAAGAGGUAUCGUAAUUGAAGAGGUUUGGAAAGACCCACCACAGAAGGUAAUAGUCCUGUAUGUUAAACGAGAAGACUUCAGAUAUGAUCCAGAGUACCACGGGACACGUGAAACCCUGUGGGAAGCAGGAGGGACCACCCUCCAAGGCUAAAUACUACCUAGUGACCGAUAGCGUAUAGUACCGUGAGGGAAAGGUGAAAAGAACCCCGGGAGGGGAGUGAAAUAGACCCUGAAACCCGGUCCUUACAAGCUGUGGAAGCACAUUUCUCGUGUGACCGCGUACUUUUGGUAGAACGGGCCAACGAGUUACGUUAAGUAGCAAGGUUAAGCACUUAAGGUG
RNAcentral lists this ribosomal RNA (656 nucleotides) under Clostridioides difficile. Its description in RNAcentral is "bacterial LSU rRNA". It matches the Rfam family "Bacterial large subunit ribosomal RNA", at positions 1 to 660 of the family's 2925-position model. Lineage: Bacteria; Bacillati; Bacillota; Clostridia; Peptostreptococcales; Peptostreptococcaceae. The record is from RNAcentral.